This 1576-nucleotide ribosomal RNA is filed under the name Enterobacter asburiae. RNAcentral describes it as "partial 23S ribosomal RNA". It matches the Rfam family "Bacterial large subunit ribosomal RNA", at positions 609 to 2166 of the family's 2925-position model. Lineage: Bacteria; Pseudomonadati; Pseudomonadota; Gammaproteobacteria; Enterobacterales; Enterobacteriaceae. The record is from RNAcentral.
UGUAUAAUGGGUCAGCGACUUAUAUUCUGUAGCAAGGUUAACCGUAUAGGGGAGCCGAAGGGAAACCGAGUCUUAACUGGGCGUUAAGUUGCAGGGUAUAGACCCGAAACCCGGUGAUCUAGCCAUGGGCAGGUUGAAGGUUGGGUAACACUAACUGGAGGACCGAACCGACUAAUGUUGAAAAAUUAGCGGAUGACUUGUGGCUGGGGGUGAAAGGCCAAUCAAACCGGGAGAUAGCUGGUUCUCCCCGAAAGCUAUUUAGGUAGCGCCUCGUGAACUCAUCUUCGGGGGUAGAGCACUGUUUCGGCUAGGGGGCCAUCCCGGCUUACCAACCCGAUGCAAACUACGAAUACCGAAGAAUGUUAUCACGGGAGACACACGGCGGGUGCUAACGUCCGUCGUGAAGAGGGAAACAACCCAGACCGCCAGCUAAGGUCCCAAAGUCAUGGUUAAGUGGGAAACGAUGUGGGAAGGCACAGACAGCCAGGAUGUUGGCUUAGAAGCAGCCAUCAUUUAAAGAAAGCGUAAUAGCUCACUGGUCGAGUCGGCCUGCGCGGAAGAUGUAACGGGGCUAAACCAUGCACCGAAGCUGCGGCAGCGACGCUUAGGCGUUGUUGGGUAGGGGAGCGUUCUGUAAGCCGUUGAAGGUGUGCUGUGAGGCAUGCUGGAGGUAUCAGAAGUGCGAAUGCUGACAUAAGUAACGAUAAAGCGGGUGAAAAGCCCGCUCGCCGGAAGACCAAGGGUUCCUGUCCAACGUUAAUCGGGGCAGGGUGAGUCGACCCCUAAGGCGAGGCCGAAAGGCGUAGUCGAUGGGAAACAGGUUAAUAUUCCUGUACUUGGUGUUACUGCGAAGGGGGGACGGAGAAGGCUAUGUUAGCCGGGCGACGGUUGUCCCGGUUUAAGCAUGUAGGCGGAGGUUCCAGGUAAAUCCGGUACCUUAUUAACGCUGAGGUGUGAUGACGAGGCACUACGGUGCUGAAGUAACAAAUGCCCUGCUUCCAGGAAAAGCCUCUAAGCAUCAGGUAACACGAAAUCGUACCCCAAACCGACACAGGUGGUCAGGUAGAGAAUACCAAGGCGCUUGAGAGAACUCGGGUGAAGGAACUAGGCAAAAUGGUGCCGUAACUUCGGGAGAAGGCACGCUGAUAUGUAGGUGAAGCCCCUGCGGGUGGAGCUGAAAUCAGUCGAAGAUACCAGCUGGCUGCAACUGUUUAUUAAAAACACAGCACUGUGCAAACACGAAAGUGGACGUAUACGGUGUGACGCCUGCCCGGUGCCGGAAGGUUAAUUGAUGGGGUUAGCGGCAACGCGAAGCUCUUGAUCGAAGCCCCGGUAAACGGCGGCCGUAACUAUAACGGUCCUAAGGUAGCGAAAUUCCUUGUCGGGUAAGUUCCGACCUGCACGAAUGGCGUAAUGAUGGCCAGGCUGUCUCCACCCGAGACUCAGUGAAAUUGAACUCGCUGUGAAGAUGCAGUGUACCCGCGGCAAGACGGAAAGACCCCGUGAACCUUUACUAUAGCUUGACACUGAACACUGGUCCUUGAUGUGUAGGAUAGGUGGGAGGCUUUGAAGCGUG